AUGCCCCUUCGGUGGGGGAGUGUGCGGUUUUCAUUGUCUACCAGCCCAUUUAGUAAUGGCCCCUUCGGCGGAGAAGUGUGCGCAGCAUCGCUGGAAACAAAAUCACGGAACCUGAAGCUAAAAACUGGUUGUUUUUCAAUGCAUGAUGCAUCAUCAGACGAGGAGUUUACACUCAUGGUGGUCGGCAUGGGAGCUAUCUGGUCAGCACGGAGGAAAUCGAUUCAUGAGAAUAUAUACCAUAGUGGCAUAGUCCGUUUGCAACGCAUGGAUUCGCAUGGAUUCGUCAAAGACGAAAUUAAUACUCUCUCCGGCCCUAGUGUCAAAAAAAUGUCUUACAUUAUGGGAUGGAGUAGUAGAUGCGAGCAUCAAUACUCCCUCCGACCCUAG
RNAcentral lists this ribosomal RNA (387 nucleotides) under Triticum aestivum (bread wheat). RNAcentral's name for it is "partial small subunit ribosomal RNA". The record is from RNAcentral. Lineage: Eukaryota; Viridiplantae; Streptophyta; Magnoliopsida; Poales; Poaceae.